GACGAACGCUGGCGGCGUGCUUAACACAUGCAAGUCGAACGGAAAGGCCCUGCUUUUGUGGCGUGCUCGUGUGGCGAACGGGUGAGUAACACGCGAGUAACCUGCCCCUGACUUUGGGAUAACUUCAGGAAACUGGGGCUAAUAUCGGAUAGGAGCUCCUGCUGCAUGGUGGGGGUUGGAAAGUUUCGGCGGUUCGGGAUGGUCUCGCCGGUUAUCAGUUUGUUUGGGGUGUAGUGACUUACCAAGGCUUUGACGGGUAGCCGGCGUGAGCGGGUGACCAGCCUCCUUGGUACUACGCUACGGACCAGGCGUCUACGGGUGGCAACGGUCGGAAAUCUGCCACAGUGGCCGGAAGCAUGUUGCAUCAACCCCGCGUGCGGGAUGAUGGCCUUCGUGUGGAGAACCGCUUUCGCCUGAAACUAAUCGAGAGUGACGGUACUUGUUAAAGAAGCACCGGCUAACUACGUG
RNAcentral lists this ribosomal RNA (468 nucleotides) under uncultured bacterium. RNAcentral describes it as "partial 16S ribosomal RNA". It matches the Rfam family "Bacterial small subunit ribosomal RNA", at positions 28 to 507 of the family's 1533-position model. The record is from RNAcentral.